AGCGAACGCUGGCGGCAGGCUUAACACAUGCAAGUCGAGCGGGCGUAGCAAUACGUCAGCGGCAGACGGGUGAGUAACGCGUGGGAACGUACCUUUUGGUUCGGAACAACACAGGGAAACUUGUGCUAAUACCGGAUAAGCCCUUACGGGGAAAGAUUUAUCGCCGAAAGAUCGGCCCGCGUCUGAUUAGCUAGUUGGUAGGGUAAUGGCCUACCAAGGCGACGAUCAGUAGCUGGUCUGAGAGGAUGAUCAGCCACAUUGGGACUGAGACACGGCCCAAACUCCUACGGGAGGCAGCAGUGGGGAAUAUUGGACAAUGGGGGCGAACCCCGUGAUCCAGCCAUGCCGCGU
This 351-nucleotide ribosomal RNA is filed under the name uncultured bacterium. RNAcentral's name for it is "bacterial SSU rRNA". It matches the Rfam family "Bacterial small subunit ribosomal RNA", at positions 29 to 402 of the family's 1533-position model. The record is from RNAcentral.